This 260-nucleotide ribosomal RNA is filed under the name uncultured bacterium. RNAcentral's name for it is "partial 16S ribosomal RNA". It matches the Rfam family "Bacterial small subunit ribosomal RNA", at positions 32 to 301 of the family's 1533-position model. The record is from RNAcentral.
AAUCAACGCUGGCGGCGUGCCUAACACAUGCAAGUCGCACGAGAAAGGGGAGCAAUCCCUGAGUAAAGUGGCGCACGGGUGAGUAACACGUGAAUCAUCUACCUCCGAGUGGGGAAUAACUGAGAGAAAUCUUAGCUAAUACCGCACAACACUUACGAGUCAAAGCAGCAAUGCGCUUGGAGAGGAGUUCGCGGCCGAUUAGUUAGUUGGCGGGGUAAGUGGCCCACCAAGACGAUGAUCGGUAUCCGGCCUGAGAGGGC